CUAAGGUUCGACUCGAGCGAAGCGAGAGAACGUUGCCGCAGGCAACGGCCCGAAGGGCGAGGCGCUUUAGCGCCGAGUAAUCCUUCCCCCACCACUG
This 97-nucleotide small RNA is filed under the name Klebsiella pneumoniae. RNAcentral describes it as "partial RtT sRNA". It matches the Rfam family "RtT RNA", at positions 36 to 130 of the family's 130-position model. Rfam says of the family: This family represents a bacterial cis-regulatory element known as RtT RNA. The exact function of RtT is unknown although it is thought that it may be involved in changing the cellular response in relation to amino acid starvation. The record is from RNAcentral. RNAcentral also lists the same sequence under 1 other name. Lineage: Bacteria; Pseudomonadati; Pseudomonadota; Gammaproteobacteria; Enterobacterales; Enterobacteriaceae.